UGUAAUAAAUAGGUUCGUGAAAAUAAGCCCUUUGUUUCUUAACCCUUUGCCCUCAAGAGGCGACAAUGGCUACACCGUUUCAUACGGCAACUCAAAUGACAAGAAGUGUGAAAUGUCACACUUUGAAAUGGAGAUAAGAUAUUUAGUCUUGAACUCGUCCAAAACCAUGGUUCUGACGUCUCCUACAUUAAUUCAGAUUCAACGAUAAUGGUAGUAUAGCUUAGAAGCCCUAAAAAAUGGAUUUUGGGAAAUGAAAUUUGCUCAACUGAAGAUGAAUUUGAUUUUGAAUUGUUGAAAGACGAGAUCGAUUGUAUCCAUGAAGGAAUUAUUGAUAAAGAAAAUGAAAGCAAUGAUGGAGAUAUAGUGACAUAGUAUUAAGUGUAAGAAAUCGAAAGAUUAAAAUAAUAGAUAGUAAAUCCAAAAGUGACAGUGAUACCCCACAAGAUCCUAAUAAUUCAGAAUGGACACCUUUUAAAGAAUCUAGUGAAAUACCACCAAGAAUAAAAUUCAUAGCCGAUGGAAUACCUGGAAGGCCAUAGGUGGUAUCCUCAAAUGUUGAACUGUUGAAUUUUUUAAAGAUAUUUCUUACCGAUAAAACAAAUAAUAACUGAAACAAAUGGUUAUACUGCAAAAAAGAAGAUAUAAGAGGGAGAACAUUAUUAUAACAUUCAAUUUGGCAAAUAUGACAUAAUGUCACCAAAGAAGAAUUUUGGCCAAAGCAAAGAUGCAUCUUGGUGAAUGCUUUAUAAAUUAUUAUACAAAAAAAUACAGAAAUUAAUAUUACAAAAUCAUUAAGAUUAAAAAAGUCAUUAAGCGCAAAGGGUUAAAAUAUUGAACGUGUAUCUGACAAAACUGAAACUUGAUGAAAUUGAGAAA
RNAcentral lists this unclassified non-coding RNA (876 nucleotides) under Bombus terrestris (buff-tailed bumblebee). RNAcentral's name for it is "misc RNA ENSBTSG00005035659.1". Lineage: Eukaryota; Metazoa; Arthropoda; Insecta; Hymenoptera; Apidae. The record is from RNAcentral.